This 806-nucleotide long non-coding RNA is filed under the name Androctonus crassicauda. Lineage: Eukaryota; Metazoa; Arthropoda; Arachnida; Scorpiones; Buthidae. The record is from RNAcentral.
AAAGAAAAGAUAUUUAAGUUUUAUAUAAUGAAGAAUGUUAAGAAGACAUGAAAUUUGGACCUUCUGGAAAAUGUCACUCCACGCGUAUUACUAUAAUAAUGUUGUCAAAAGAUGAUGUUUUCUUGUUAAUAAUGAGAGAAAAUUUGUUUCUGUUCGGAGGAGGAAAAAUUUAUAUAAGCUUUCACAUCUGUACAAAAACAGGAAAAAGAGAAGUUAGGUUAACAUGGGACAUUGGCUAAUUAUUGGAUUAAAUACAUUCCUAGCUGCAGGAGAUCUUUUAUCCACAAUAGCAAAUGCUGAAAAAAUAUAUAUAGAUGUGGAAAACUGAAAGGCGGGUGGAGAGCACAAAAGUCAGAGAAGAGAGUGCAUGAGAAAGUUUGCCGGCAUGAAAAGUCUGAGGUCGAUUGCCGUGGUGCAAGUUGUGAACAAUCCUACAAAGUGAUACAAAGUCAGCCAUUUGUCUCUGCCACUGAGGCCUCAAGAUCACCAAUAAUGUUUUGUUAGUGUUCUGUUGAUUAUGAUUGUAAGAACUAAAGACUGUGCUGCCAUAUAUUGGACUAAAGACUGUGCUUCACAUAACUCAAGAAAAAGACAGGAAAGAAAGGGAAGGAGAAGACAUUCUUGCUUCCUUGUGAACAGAUUUCUUAUUGUACCCCAGUUAUCCAGGUAUUUAUCCUUCACAGAGAAAAAUGUGUACUCGGAACUCUCUCUCAAUAAAAGUUCCCAGGUUUAUAUAAACCGUAGUGUUGUCUCUUUGUUGUGUUGAGAGUCACUCUCACCUUGCUGUUCUUACCUAAGUAAUGCUU